GGGACAUUGGUCUAGUGGUAUGAUUCUCGCUUAGGGUGCGAGAGGUCCCGUGUUCAAUUCACGGAUGUCCCC
Non-coding RNA from Coccomyxa subellipsoidea C-169, 72 nucleotides. The record is from the annotation of a RefSeq genome assembly. NCBI's taxonomy places the organism in Eukaryota, Viridiplantae, Chlorophyta, Trebouxiophyceae, Coccomyxaceae.